AGUGAACGCUGGCGGUAGGCCUAACACAUGCAAGUCGAACGGCAGCACAGUAAGAGCUUGCUCUUACGGGUGGCGAGUGGCGGACGGGUGAGGAAUACAUCGGAAUCUACUUUUUCGUGGGGGAUAACGUAGGGAAACUUACGCUAAUACCGCAUACGACCUACGGGUGAAAGCAGGGGAUCUUCGGACCUUGCGCGAUUGAAUGAGCCGAUGUCGGAUUAGCUAGUUGGCGGGGUAAAGGCCCACCAAGGCGACGAUCCGUAGCUGGUCUGAGAGGAUGGUCGGCCACACUGGAACUGAGACACGGUCCAGACUCCUACGGGAGGCAGCAGUGGGGAAUAUUGGACAAUGGGCGCAAGCCUGAUCCAGCCAUACCGCGUGGGUGAAGAAGGCCUUCGGGUUGUAAAGCCCUUUUGUUGGGAAAGAACAGCAGCAGGUUAAUACCCCGCUGUUCUGACGGUACCCAAAGAAUAAGCACCGGCUAACUUCGUG
RNAcentral lists this ribosomal RNA (492 nucleotides) under uncultured bacterium. Its description in RNAcentral is "partial 16S ribosomal RNA". It matches the Rfam family "Bacterial small subunit ribosomal RNA", at positions 29 to 507 of the family's 1533-position model. The record is from RNAcentral.